GUGCCUGCUUCAGCCACAUUAAACCAAAACUGGAACAAUACAGAAAAGAUUAGCAUGGCCUUACGAAAAGAUGACACACAAAUUCAUGAAGCAUUCUGUAUAACA
Gracilinanus agilis (Agile Gracile Mouse Opossum) is the source of this 105-nucleotide small nuclear RNA. Lineage: Eukaryota; Metazoa; Chordata; Mammalia; Didelphimorphia; Didelphidae. The record is from RefSeq and is a predicted model, not a curated record.